This is a non-coding RNA of Caenorhabditis elegans, 145 nucleotides long. Lineage: Eukaryota; Metazoa; Nematoda; Chromadorea; Rhabditida; Rhabditidae. The record is from Ensembl.
CAGCAUUUUCUCUUCUAGUUUUGGUGUUGUAGAGAGAUGGUGGGUGACACCAUCAUGAAGAUACGCAGAGAUCCAAAUAAAAAAGAGAGAAAACGGGCGGUCACUCGGGGACGGAGAGCUCCACGACUUCGAUGCUAUAUUUCUG